Molecule: ribosomal RNA, 436 nt
Filed under: uncultured bacterium
Lineage: Bacteria
Description: partial 16S ribosomal RNA
Rfam family: Bacterial small subunit ribosomal RNA
Source: RNAcentral
GAUGAACGCUGGCGGUAUGCUUAACACAUGCAAGUCGAACGGGGUUCAUAGUCACCUAGUGGCGGACGGGUGAGUAACGCGUGAGAAUCUGGCCUCAGGUCCGGGACAACCACGGGAAACGGUGGCUAAUACCGGAUGUGCCAUAUUGGUGAAAGAUUAAUUGCCUGAGGAUGAGCUCGCGUCUGAUUAGCUAGUUGGUGGGGUAAAGGCUUACCAAGGCGACGAUCAGUAACUGGUCUGAGAGGAUGACCAGUCACACUGGGACUGAGACACGGCCCAGACUCCUACGGGAGGGAGCAGGGGGGAAUUUUCCGCAAUGGGCGAAAGCCUGACGGAGCAAUACCGCGUGAGGGAGGAAGGCUCUUGGGUUGUAAACCUCUUUUCUCAGGGAAGAACAAUGACGGUACCUGAGGAAUCAGCAUCGGCUAACUCCGUG